Molecule: transfer RNA, 77 nt
Filed under: Clostridia bacterium
Lineage: Bacteria; Bacillati; Bacillota; Clostridia
Also listed under: 1 other name
Description: tRNA-Met
Rfam family: tRNA
About the family: Transfer RNA (tRNA) molecules are approximately 80 nucleotides in length. Their secondary structure includes four short double-helical elements and three loops (D, anti-codon, and T loops).
Source: RNAcentral
GGCUGCAUAGCUCAGUUGGCUAGAGCAUACGGUUCAUACCCGUAGUGUCAUUGGUUCAAAUCCAAUUGCAGCCACCA